This is a long non-coding RNA of Hippocampus comes (tiger tail seahorse), 509 nucleotides long. RefSeq lists it as uncharacterized. Lineage: Eukaryota; Metazoa; Chordata; Actinopteri; Syngnathiformes; Syngnathidae. The record is from RefSeq and is a predicted model, not a curated record. The transcript has 2 exons.
UGCUCUGUCUAAACGGCACUGACGGCGGGGGUGGGGUUUGGGGGGUGGGUAGUCCAAAUGGAAACUUUUCACCUUCAAAAGCAGUAUCAGAGACCCCUUUUUCCACAGCAUGUUAAUUUCGGGGGUAUUUCUGUCUAUCUCCUGAAAGCGCACCCCCCGGGAAGUGCGACUGAGGAGCAACAGUGCUGUGUGUGCACUUCCUCGCCGUCAAGAUAACGCAGGGUGCGUGCGCGCGUGCGUGUGCGUGCGUGCAUGCGCGUGCAAUGCAUCACGCAGGUCAUUAAAAGCAGCAGUGUUGUUCAUUAAAGCACCCCCACCCAGCCCCCGGCGCACCCCUUCCCUCCCAACAACCCUUUGAUGAGACUUAAUGUUCCAUUAGACGAGUAUCACUCGGAUGCUACAUGAUAUGGAUGCUCAUUAGGGCUCAAAGAGCAGACGCUUCCCAGGCCUGGGAUUACAAAAUCGGUGGUGCGUCCUCUAGGAGGUACCUUUUUCCCACCAGGUGUGAU